RNAcentral lists this ribosomal RNA (301 nucleotides) under uncultured bacterium. RNAcentral's name for it is "partial 16S ribosomal RNA". It matches the Rfam family "Bacterial small subunit ribosomal RNA", at positions 509 to 809 of the family's 1533-position model. The record is from RNAcentral.
CAGUCGCCACGGGAAUACAGAGGGUGCAAGCGUUAAUCGGAAUUACUGGGCGUAAAGCGCGCGUAGGUGGUUUGUUAAGUUGGAUGUGAAAGCCCCGGGCUCAACCUGGGAACUGCAUCCAAAACUGGCAAGCUAGAGUACGGUAGAGGGUGGUGGAAUUUCCUGUGUAGCGGUGAAAUGCGUAGAUAUAGGAAGGAACACCAGUGGCGAAGGCGACCACCUGGACUGAUACUGACACUGAGGUGCGAAAGCGUGGGGAGCAAACAGGAUUAGAGACCCGCGUAGUCCCUGUCUCUUAUAU